Non-coding RNA from Podarcis lilfordi (Lilford's wall lizard), 80 nucleotides. The record is from the annotation of a GenBank genome assembly. NCBI's taxonomy places the organism in Eukaryota, Metazoa, Chordata, Lepidosauria, Squamata, Lacertidae.
CAGCACAGCCAUUUUGGACUUCAUCUCCCAGCAUGGGGGCUGGGGGCUGAUGGGAGUUGUAGUCCAAAAUGGCUGUGCUG